Molecule: ribosomal RNA, 659 nt
Filed under: uncultured Sphingomonas sp.
Lineage: Bacteria; Pseudomonadati; Pseudomonadota; Alphaproteobacteria; Sphingomonadales; Sphingomonadaceae
Description: bacterial SSU rRNA
Rfam family: Bacterial small subunit ribosomal RNA
Source: RNAcentral
CAGAUAACGCGUUAAGUGAUCCGCCUUGGGGAAGUUCGUCCACAAGCUUCAAACUGAAAAGAAAUUGACAGGGGGCUUGCACAAGAAGUGGAGCAUGUGGUUUAAUUCGAAGCGACGCGCAGGACCUUACCAGCGUUUGACAUGGUAGGACGGUUUCCAGAGAUGGAUUCCUUCCCUUACGGGACCUACACACAGGUGCUGCAUGGCUGUCGUCAGCUCGUGUCGUGAGAUGUUGGGUUAAGUCCCGCAACGAGCGCAACCCUCGUCUUUAGUUGCUAUCAUUUAGUUGGGCACUCUAAAGAAACUGCCGGUGAUAAGCCGGAGGAAGGUGGGGAUGACGUCAAGUCCUCAUGGCCCUUACGCGCUGGGCUACACACGUGCUACAAUGGCGGUGACAACGGGCAGCAAACUCGCGAGAGUGAGCAAAUCCCAAAAAGCCGUCUCAGUUCGGAUUGUUCUCUGCAACUCGAGAGCAUGAAGGCGGAAUCGCUAGUAAUCGCGGAUCAGCAUGCCGCGGUGAAUACGUUCCCAGGCCUUGUACACACCGCCCGUCACACCAUGGGAGUUGGUUUCACCCGAAGGCAGUGCGCUAACCGCAAGGAGGCAGCUGACCACGGUGGGAUCAGCGACUGGGGUGAAGUCGUAACAAGGUAACCGUA